UGGGGAAUUUUGGACAAUGGGGGCAACCCUGAUCCAGCCAUUCCGCGUGAGUGAAGAAGGCCUUCGGGUUGUAAAGCUCUUUUGUCCGGGAAGAAACGGUUUCACCUAAUACGUGAGACUACUGACGGUACCGGAAGAAUAAGGACCGGCUAACUACGUGCCAGCAGCCGCGGUAAUACGUAGGGUCCAAGCGUUAAUCGGAAUUACUGGGCGUAAAGCGUGCGCAGGCGGUUGUGUAAGCCAGAUGUGAAAUCCCCGGGCUUAACCUGGGAAUGGCAUUUGGGACUGCACGGCUAGAGUACGGCAGAGGGGACUAGAAUUCCUGGUGUAGCAGUGAAAUGCGUAGAUAUCAGGAGGAAUACCGAUGGCGAAGGCAGGUCCCUGGGCUGAUACUGACGCUCAUGCACGAAAGCGUGGGGAGCAAACAGG
RNAcentral lists this ribosomal RNA (429 nucleotides) under uncultured beta proteobacterium. Its description in RNAcentral is "bacterial SSU rRNA". It matches the Rfam family "Bacterial small subunit ribosomal RNA", at positions 355 to 776 of the family's 1533-position model. Lineage: Bacteria; Pseudomonadati; Pseudomonadota; Betaproteobacteria. The record is from RNAcentral.